RNAcentral lists this long non-coding RNA (473 nucleotides) under Mytilus galloprovincialis (Mediterranean mussel). The record is from RNAcentral. Lineage: Eukaryota; Metazoa; Mollusca; Bivalvia; Mytilida; Mytilidae.
GUCAUGGUAUUGUCCUCGAUUUAGAAAUGUUAAUAGUCUCAUUAGAGCCGUUUAAUUAGUUCUUGUCCAGACUGGCGCCUUCUCCAAUUUCCCAAACUAUAGAGCCAUAAAAUGGCAUCAUAUGCCUUACAUGUGAAAAAGUCUAUUUAUUAUUUAUAUUCAUGAUAUCGCAUUACUAAAAUCAGACUUGAAAAUAUAUAUAACACGUUGAUUGGCUUACUCAUGGGUGUAAAUUUGAUCAUGUUAUAAUUCCAAACAAAAUCUUUAUGUACAUAUAUGCCUACCUUGAUUCCUAUCUCAUAAUAUCUUCAAUUUGAAUUCCCGAGGACGUGAACAAAUACUUGUUGAAGUUGAUGCAUUUAGAGAAAAUAUGUCAUCCCUAGGACUAUUGUUAGGAAAACUCUUAAAAUAAUUGUAACUUAUGUAGAUUAUUUGUGUAGAAAUUUUAUCAAUAUUUUUACCCAUAAGCAGCA